Long non-coding RNA from Bos taurus (domestic cattle), 1590 nucleotides. NCBI's taxonomy places the organism in Eukaryota, Metazoa, Chordata, Mammalia, Artiodactyla, Bovidae. The record is from Ensembl.
UCCUGUUAAGGACAAUGGGACAUGUAAGAUUGAAUCUCAACUAGUUUCUACACUCUCAAGACUACCACAUAGAAGAGAGAAGAUGCAUAACUAUACAAACAAGUGUGUGGGCUACUCAUUGUGGAGGCCUCUUUUGUGCUGGCGCACAGGCUUAGUUUCUCCUUGGCAUGUGAGAUCUUCAUGGACCAGGGAUCGAACCCACGUUCCCUGCAUUGGCAGCUCCUCUCUUCCAGCCAAACUCAUCCAUACAUACCUCAGUGCAUACACCCAUAGUCCUGUCUAGACCUGUGAUAGUGCAUCCUGUGAAGACCUUCCCUUUGCUUAUCUAAGAACUCCUCUCCUUCAAGCCAUCCUACCCUCGAGAAGACUUCCUCCUCUAGAGAAAUCCUUUGCCACUUCUUCACGACCCAGAUAAUCACGAUGGUGUGAUCACUGACCUAGAGCCAGACAUCAUGGAAUGUGAAGUCAAGUGGGCCUUAGAAGGCAUCACUUCGAACAAAGCUAGUGGAGGUGAUGGAAUUCCAGCUGAGCUAUUUCAAAUCCUGAAAGAUGAUGCUGUGAAAGUGCUGCACUCAAUAUGCCAGCAAAUUUGGAAAACUCAGCAGUGGCCACAGGACUGGAAAAGGUCAGUUUUCAUUCCAAUCCCAAAGAAAGGUGAUGCCAAAGAAUGCUCAAACUACCGCACAAUUGCACUCAUCUCACACGCUAGUAAAGUCAUGCUCAAAAUUCUCCAAGCCAGGCUUCAGCAAUACAUGAACCAUGAACUUCCUGAUGUUCAAGCUGGUUUUAGAAAAGGCAGAGGAACCAGAGAUCAAAUUGCCAACAUCUGCUGGAUCAUGGAAAAAGCAAGAGAGUUCCAGAAAAAAUCUAUUUCUGCUUUAUUGACUAUGCCAAUAUUAUUGUGUGGAUCACAAUAAACUGUGGAAAAUUCUGAAAGAGAUGGGAAACCAGACCACCUGACCUGCCUCUUGAGAAAUCUGUAUGCAGGUCAGGAAGCAACAGUUAGAACUGGACAUGGAACAACAGACUGGUUCCAAAUAGGAAAAGGAGAACGUCAAGGCUGUAUAUUGUCACCCUGCUUAUGUAACUUAUAUGCAGAGUACAUCAUGAGAAACACUGGACUGGAAGAAACACAAGCUGGAAUCAAGAUUGCCAGGAGAAAUAUCAAUAACCUCAGAUAUGCAGAUGACACCACUCUUAUGGCAGGAAGUGAAGAAGAACUAAAAAGCCUCUUGAUGAAAGUGAAAGUGGAGAGUGAAAAAGUUGCCUUAAAGCUCAACAUUCAGAAAAUGAAGAUCAUGGCAUGCGGUCCCAUCACUUCAUGGGAAAUAGAUGGGGAAACAGUGGAAACAGUGUCAAGACUUUAUUUUUUGGGGCUCCAAAAUCACUGCAGAUGGUGACUGCAGCCAUGAAAUUAAAAGACGCUUACUCCUUGGAAGGAAAGUUAUGACCAACCUAGAUAGCAUAUUCAAAAGCAGAGACAUUACUUUGCCAACAAAGGUCUGUCUAGUCAAGGCUAUGGUUUUUCCUGUGGUCAUGUAUGGAUGUGAGAGUUGGACUGUGAAGAAAGCUGAGUGCCAAAGAAUUGAU